RNAcentral lists this non-coding RNA (30 nucleotides) under Mus musculus (house mouse). The record is from RNAcentral. Lineage: Eukaryota; Metazoa; Chordata; Mammalia; Rodentia; Muridae.
UGGAAGCCGUGAUAUUGCCUGUCGCAAGUC